AAACUUAAAUGAAUUGACGGGGCCCGCACAAGCGGUGGAGCAUGUGGUUUAAUUCGACGCAACGCGAAGAACCUUACCAGGGCUUGACAUCCCCUGACCGCGUAUGAAAGUACGUUUUCACCCUCGGGUGACAGGGAGACAGGUGGUGCAUGGUUGUCGUCAGCUCGUGUCGUGAGAUGUUGGGUUAAGUCCCGCAACGAGCGCAACCCCUACGUUUAGUUGCUAACGCGUGAAGGCGAGCACUCUAGACGAACUGCCGUUGACAAAACGGAGGAAGGUGGGGAUGACGUCAAAUCAUCAUGCCCCUUAUGUUCUGGGCUACACACGUGCUACAAUGGCCGGUACAGACGGACGCAAAGCCGCGAGGUGGAGCAAAUCCUAAAAACCAUCCUCAGUACGGAUUGCAGGCUGAAACCCGCCUGCAUGAAGCCGGAGUUGCUAGUAACCGCAUAUCAGCAUGGUGCGGUGAAUACGUUCUCGGGCCUU
RNAcentral lists this ribosomal RNA (486 nucleotides) under uncultured Pelotomaculum sp. RNAcentral describes it as "bacterial SSU rRNA". It matches the Rfam family "Bacterial small subunit ribosomal RNA", at positions 897 to 1382 of the family's 1533-position model. The record is from RNAcentral. Lineage: Bacteria; Bacillati; Bacillota; Clostridia; Eubacteriales; Desulfotomaculaceae.